Passer domesticus (house sparrow) is the source of this 460-nucleotide long non-coding RNA. RefSeq lists it as uncharacterized. The record is from RefSeq and is a predicted model, not a curated record. Lineage: Eukaryota; Metazoa; Chordata; Aves; Passeriformes; Passeridae. The transcript has 3 exons.
ACCACCCUUUGGAAGAGGAAGAAUCUACAAUGGAAUUUUUUUAAUCCUGGUAACAAGGCAGGUCAAUUGUGACUGAAUGUGCAAAGCUGCUUUAAAAGUCUGUCAUUCUGUAGCUGGUCAUUGUGGUAUUUCUUUUGCUUAUGCUGGAGGCUACUGUCAGAAAAGUUGAGGAGAGGGAGUGCUAGAGUGGGCUUGAUGGGUACCAGCUGUCCAGCCACAGUCAACCCACCUCAGCAUGCAGGUGAACACUAUUCUGUCUUUCACCUUGAUGUGCAAAACAGCAUUUCAUGGUAGGCAUGCAUGAUUUCACCUCUCACUGGCCAUGGACAAGAAAGGGGGCUCCCUUCCAUUCUGAGGUUUUGCUGACUGGAUGAAAUGUUACAACUAUGUAUAGACAGACAGAAGUAAAAUAGACCAUUUAAUGUUAUAAAUGAUAGAUUAUAUAUUCAACACCAACCUG